Molecule: ribosomal RNA, 440 nt
Filed under: uncultured bacterium
Lineage: Bacteria
Description: partial 16S ribosomal RNA
Rfam family: Bacterial small subunit ribosomal RNA
Source: RNAcentral
CCUACGGGAGGCAGCAGUGGGGAAUAUUGCACAAUGGGGGAAACCCUGAUGCAGCGACGCCGCGUGAGCGAUGAAGGAUUUCGGUAUGUAAAGCUCUAUCAGCAGGGAAGAAAAUGACGGUACCUGACUAAGAAUCCCCGGCUAACUCCUUGCCAGCAGCCGCGGUAAUACGCAGGGGGCGAGCGUUAUCCGGAUUUACUGGGGGGAAAGGGAGCGUAGGCGGUACUGCGAGGCAGAUGUGAAAGCCCGGGGCUCAACCUGGGGACUGCAUUUGGAACUGUAAGGCUAGAGUGUCGGAGAGGAAGGCGGAAUUCCUGGUGUAGCGGUGAAAUGCGUAGAUAUUAGGAGGAACACCAGUGGCGAAGGCGGCCUGCUGGAAGAUAACUGACGUUGAGGCUCGAAAGCGUGGGGAGCAAACAGGAUUAGAUACCCUGGUAGUC